Long non-coding RNA from Sinocyclocheilus anshuiensis, 598 nucleotides. RefSeq lists it as uncharacterized. The transcript has 2 exons. The record is from RefSeq and is a predicted model, not a curated record. NCBI's taxonomy places the organism in Eukaryota, Metazoa, Chordata, Actinopteri, Cypriniformes, Cyprinidae.
UGAGCAGUCCCGUACUGACUACUGACCCGUACUGACUACUAACCCGUACUUACUCAUACUGACCCAUACUGACUACUGACCUGUACUAACCUGUACUGACUACUGACCCGUACUGACUACUAACCCGUACUUACUCAUACUGACCCAUACUGACUACUGACCUGUACUAACCUGUACUGACUACUGACCCGUACUGACUACUAACCCGUACUUACUCAUACUGACCCAUACUAACCUGUACUGACUGUAGCUGGUCUGAUAUGAGUUGCUCACUGUCUGGUCUUUCUGCUGCGGUUUCUGCAUCUGCUGGUUCUGAUGUCUGCUUGCUUCCUCUCUCUUUCUCUGCGCUCUUCAUUUCCUCUCUCUCGCUCUCCUCAGGUGUGUCCACUCCGUCUCUCCUGGCGGGCAGCAGUCCGCUGCGCAGUGGGCUUUAGUAGCUCACUUGGUUUUUCCCAGCCUCUUCUUUAUUACUGUAAAGCAGGUCCAGGAGUGGCAGGUUAUCUGACAGCAGGCAGCGGCUCUACAGUCAUGCCGAGUGUCCCGCCGCCCGUAGACAACGACACCGGAGACUCAUGAAACACCAGACAAACCCGGACAC